GACAAAUACAGACCAGUCUAUGCAAUAAAAUCCUCAUUUAUUUGUCUUGUUUACCCACAAUGCACCGGUUUAUUUAUUACUCAUUUUAUUUAUGACUAAACUUGACCAUUUUAAUUAGUGAAGGUUUUGUUAUUGUUUAAUAUAUUUUUAUCGUCAAUUUAUUUAAUUUUUUUAUUAUAUUUAUACAGCUUCUGUUUAAUAUCAGAGUUCUGUUGAUGAGGUGGAAUUUUCCCUUCAGCACUGAACACAUUCAGGCCCGUGUGUGUGUGUGCGCGCGCGUGUGUGUGUGUGUGUGCGCGCGUGUGUGUGUGCGCGCGCAUGUCUUGAUUUCUUCUUUUUCUUCCUGUCCCGUAUCUACACCACCUUUCCCUGGAACUCCCCUGGAGGCAGGAGCGGCACGGCCCGGCGGUGUGUUGGGUAAAUACCCCACUGGGCGUGGCGUUCAGUAGACGCUCCUGUAGAACUCGUUCAGUCUUGCUGAGUCACACUGAACCCCGCCCCCUCCAGCAGCACGUUAGCUUAGCAACACGCUCCACCUUCCUUGCUAGAAUAGAAAGUGUAAUCAAUGUGUGCAACUACAAAGUGUACUAAUGUCUGGAUAUGUUAAUAAUGUAUAAUCACGUGUGUAUAACCAACCGUGAUUAGCAUUAGCAGUGAGGAUUAGCAUUAUCUAAAUCCACACUACACUUGUUGAUCAAGUUAUAUUCCAAGUGUGUACCGAGGUAGAUCAAUUCUGUGUCUUACUGUACAGUAGGCCGAACAGUUUCCUGUGCCAGUCCGUACCUCUGCCCAGCACGAAUAGUCUCAAUCUACACAACACUAACAGGAGGUAUUCGAAGUGUGUACUUUAAGAGCUUUGUGUUUGUCUAAAGCAGCUUGACUCUAUGGCAGUAACAGCUCUUAGACACCUACCAGAACCGAGUUUCCAACCCGUCCUCCAAGCCUUCUCCCGGUUUAAAAGGCUGUGCUCGACUGGAGAAGAUCUAACCGGAGCGACGUCAUUUUAAAAUGAUCGUCACCGUAACGACCGGUUAAAUAGUUGAACAGAAUUCUGAUCGUACCUCCUGCACUUCUCACUGUACGGGUUUCAGAG
Molecule: long non-coding RNA, 1093 nt
Organism: Ictalurus punctatus (channel catfish)
Lineage: Eukaryota; Metazoa; Chordata; Actinopteri; Siluriformes; Ictaluridae
Source: Ensembl